This 447-nucleotide ribosomal RNA is filed under the name Escherichia coli. Its description in RNAcentral is "partial 23S ribosomal RNA". It matches the Rfam family "Bacterial large subunit ribosomal RNA", at positions 2496 to 2925 of the family's 2925-position model. Lineage: Bacteria; Pseudomonadati; Pseudomonadota; Gammaproteobacteria; Enterobacterales; Enterobacteriaceae. The record is from RNAcentral.
GAGUUCAUAUCGACGGCGGUGUUUGGCACCUCGAUGUCGGCUCAUCACAUCCUGGGGCUGAAGUAGGUCCCAAGGGUAUGGCUGUUCGCCAUUUAAAGUGGUACGCGAGCUGGGUUUAGAACGUCGUGAGACAGUUCGGUCCCUAUCUGCCGUGGGCGCUGGAGAAUUGAGGGGGGCUGCUCCUAGUACGAGAGGACCGGAGUGGACGCAUCACUGGUGUUCGGGUUGUCAUGCCAAUGGCACUGCCCGGUAGCUAAAUGCGGAAGAGAUAAGUGCUGAAAGCAUCUAAGCACGAAACUUGCCCCGAGAUGAGUUCUCCCUGACUCCUUGAGAGUCCUGAAGGAACGUUGAAGACGACGACGUUGAUAGGCCGGGUGUGUAAGCGCAGCGAUGCGUUGAGCUAACCGGUACUAAUGAACCGUGAGGCUUAACCUUACAACGCCGAAG